UCCGUAGGUGAACCUGCGGAAGGAUCAUUAAUUAUGUUAAAGCGCCUUACCUUAGGGUUUCCUCUGGGGUAAGUGAUUGCUUUUACACUGUGAAAAUUUGGCUGAGAGACUCAGACUGGUCAUGGGUAGACCUAUCUGGGGUUUGAUCGAUGCCACUCUUGGUUUCAGGAGCACCCUUCAUAAUAAACCUAGAAAUUCAGUAUUAUAAAGUUUAAUAAAAAACAACUUUUAACAAUGGAUCUCUUGGUUCUUGCAUCGAUGAAGAACGUAGCAAAGUGUGAUAACUAGUGUGAAUUGCAUAUUCAGUGAAUCAUCGAGUCUUUGAACGCAGCUUGCACUCUAUGGUUUUUCUAUAGAGUACGCCUGCUUCAGUAUCAUCACAAACCCACACACAACAUUUGUUUAUGUGGUGAUGGGUCGCAUCACUGUUUUAUUACAGUGAGCACCUAAAAUGUGUGUGAUUUUCUGUCUGGCUUGCUAGGCAGGAAUAUUACGCUGGUCUCAGGAUCUUUUUUUUUGGUUCGCCCAGGAAGUAAAGUACAAGAGUAUAAUCCAGUAACUUUCAAACUAUGAUCUGAAGUCAGGUGGGAUUACCCGCUGAACUUAAGCAUAUCAAUAAGCGGAGGA
This 627-nucleotide ribosomal RNA is filed under the name Rhizopus arrhizus. RNAcentral describes it as "eukaryotic LSU rRNA". The stretch from base 224 to 377 matches the Rfam family "5.8S ribosomal RNA". The record is from RNAcentral. Lineage: Eukaryota; Fungi; Mucoromycota; Mucoromycetes; Mucorales; Rhizopodaceae.